CAUAUCUGCUCCCCAUCACAAUGCUGUCAGAGGAUCGACAGCAUACAGCUUCCAUAGACACAGGAGGAGCAUCUCUGAACCUGAUCUUGUCUGUACAAGCCAAGGGACACCAUUGCCAAGUAUCCUCAUUGAUUCUCAAGGAAGAGAGCCGUAACACCACUUCAAUUUUCACUAAUCUAUGGAAGAAUACAGCACAUUAAGUGGAAUUAAGGGAUGCAUGUCUCACAUUCCCACAGCAGCUCCUGAGACACCCAUCAGUCUGUGCCUUCUGCUCUGCACAGCCCAUGACAGAUGAAUGCAAUACAGGAGCUGUGCUGCUGUCCAGCUCAAGCUGAAUGUCACCAAGAGCCAAACGCACACAUUUGAUCAGCCUGGGGUGAGGGCUGCUGUUAAUUAUUGCUGCUCUUGAAAAUCCAAGUGACUUUGUAUCUCAGCAGGAGGUAAAGAAACUCACACAUCAUACAAAAGGUGGGUAGGUAAAGCAGUGGGAAGUGGGAGGUUUUGGUAGACAAGACUUCCUCCAAGAGACAUUUAAAAGUGUUUCUCUCCAUUUACCAGGAGCUUAGGCACUUACUUUCACAGUAUUACCUUGCUCAGUACUUAAAUUAUGAAUGGCUUGAAUUUUG
This 626-nucleotide long non-coding RNA is filed under the name Cyanistes caeruleus (blue tit). Its description in RNAcentral is "lncRNA (ENSCCEG00000011285.1)". The record is from RNAcentral. Lineage: Eukaryota; Metazoa; Chordata; Aves; Passeriformes; Paridae.